RNAcentral lists this small nuclear RNA (106 nucleotides) under Dasypus novemcinctus (nine-banded armadillo). Lineage: Eukaryota; Metazoa; Chordata; Mammalia; Cingulata; Dasypodidae. The record is from RNAcentral.
GUGCUCACUUCAGCAGCACAUUUACUAAAUUGGAAUGAUAUAGAGAAGAUUAGCAUGCCCCCUGCACAGGGAUGAUAUGCCAAUUUGUGAAGCAUUCCAUACUUUU